Molecule: unclassified non-coding RNA, 1883 nt
Filed under: Manduca sexta (tobacco hornworm)
Lineage: Eukaryota; Metazoa; Arthropoda; Insecta; Lepidoptera; Sphingidae
Description: carboxypeptidase M, transcript variant X1
Source: RNAcentral
UAUGAUUUUGUAAUUAAACUUUGGUUGGAUGAGCCAAAGGUGAGCAAAAUAAUUUGGCGCUGUGCAUUUCCAUAAUGCCCUGUCGCUUUUGGAUUUUAAAUCAGUGGAAUUCACCAGAUUGUUUUAUAAUAAUUUUAUAUUAAAAUACACGUAAAUCUUAUAAUGAUAUAAAACAAAAACAUUUUUUUUUCUUCAUUUUAAGAGAUGGCAGAGCGGUUAGGUAGUAAAAACGAAAAAAAUUAAGAUACUGAUAUAAUAUGUUGAAUUACCUACGCCAUUAUGGAUUUUCGCAGAUGUUCGAGGAAAGUUUGAGAAGAAUAUCCCUUGCAGUUUUUUUCGUUGCAAUUUUGGGAUCAGUAACUGCACAGUCCUCUCCUGAAAAUAUAUUAAAUGGAGGAGAUGUGUCUAUAAAUUUAGGUGAAGUGGAACCCCGAGACAGCGGCGCAGACUUAGACUUUCACUACCACGAUCACGAUCAGCUAACACGGUACCUACGAGCCGUGUCGGCUAAGUACCCCGCUCUGACUGCUCUUUAUUCUAUCGGAAAGUCUGUUCAAGGUCGCGACCUUUGGGUGAUGGUUGUGUCUGCAUCUCCAUACGAGCACAUGAUAGGAAAGCCAGAUGUCAAAUAUGUCGCAAACAUUCACGGUAACGAAGCAGUCGGGCGAGAGCUGCUGUUGCAUCUUAUACAGUACUUAGUGACGUCAUACGAUACCGAUCCAUACAUCAAAUGGUUGCUGGACAAUACACGAAUUCAUCUGAUGCCAUCCAUGAAUCCGGACGGUUUCGCAAUCUCUAAAGAGGGACAAUGCGACACCAUCCAUGGCAGGCAUAAUGCACGUCGAUACGACUUAAACCGGAAUUUCCCAGACUUCUUCAAAGUGAACACUAAGCAAAUCCAGCCGGAGACUGAAGCCGUGAAAGAAUGGAUCAGCAAAAUACAGUUCGUGCUGUCCGGGUCGCUGCACGGAGGCGCGCUCGUUGCAUCUUACCCCUUCGACAACACACCCAAUGCUAAUCUCCUAAAUACAGUAUUCCAAACGUACGCACACUCUCCAUCGAUUUCGCCGGAUGACGAUGUGUUCCGGCAUCUAUCGCUGGUGUACUCCAACAAUCACGCCAAGAUGUCAAGAGGUGUCUCCUGCAAGUCCGGCUCGCCGAGAUUUGAAAAUGGCAUCACUAAUGGCGCUGCAUGGUAUCCACUUACUGGUGGAAUGCAAGACUAUAACUACCUUUGGCAUGGAUGUAUGGAAAUUACUUUGGAAAUAUCUUGCUGCAAAUACCCACCUGCGCACGAGCUGCCUAAGUAUUGGCAAGAUAAUAAACAGUCCCUCAUUAAAUACUUGGCCGAAGUGCACCGCGGCGCUCAUGGAUUUGUAAUGGACGAGAAUGGCAACCCAGUAGAGCGUGCCGCGAUCAGAGUUAAAGGUCGUGACGUCUCGUAUCACACAACCAAGUAUGGCGAAUUCUGGCGUAUCCUGCUGCCGGGAACUUACCGUGUGGACAUAUCUGCGGAAGGUUAUUUGCCACAAGAAGUUGAAUUCAUAGUUAUCGACAAUCACCCCACACUUCUGAACAUCACUUUACAUUCUGCCAAAGAAUCCGGACUCAACCAUUCCACAGUGAAGAUUCUUGACCCUGUGACAACAUCCACGACAAAGCCUGGCAAUGAUGGAACUAUAAUUUUCCCUGAAGAUUAGUUCCGGUGUGACUCAAACACAGUAGAAGAAAUCAUUAGAUUUGAUGUAUAAUACUCAGAUCUCACAGUAAUUAUCGAAUAGACGGCGGGCCGUAUUACAGACCACUGCCUGCGCCACCGAGAGUCCCGCUCACCGCCACUCCGGCGCCAGGAAUUUUCACUUCUCUUACUAACUCCUUCAGUA